GCAACUGCACACAUGCUGAAGAGAGGUUGGCUGAGGCUGAGUAAAAUUUCAUGGUAAGCCAAUCAGAGGUAGACUUGGGCGGGUGUUCGAAAGCACGCAUAG
Long non-coding RNA from Etheostoma cragini (Arkansas darter), 102 nucleotides. RefSeq lists it as uncharacterized. NCBI's taxonomy places the organism in Eukaryota, Metazoa, Chordata, Actinopteri, Perciformes, Percidae. The record is from RefSeq and is a predicted model, not a curated record. The transcript has 3 exons.